RNAcentral lists this long non-coding RNA (259 nucleotides) under Elaeis guineensis (African oil palm). RNAcentral's name for it is "long non-coding RNA (EGUI_LNC070566)". Lineage: Eukaryota; Viridiplantae; Streptophyta; Magnoliopsida; Arecales; Arecaceae. The record is from RNAcentral.
CAGUAUCAUCGAUUAUUCGCAAUGAGGCUACUGAGUUUGACUGUAUAUGAUUGAGUUUAAAAAAUCUUUUGUCAAAGUAAGUGUGAAUAGUGGAAAGAAGUUUUCACGGAAUUCACAAGUAAACUCGAGUCGAGCCUUCUUGCAUAUGACUAACGAUGGGGUUUGACAAGUUCUCCAUGAUCUCCAUCAAGUCAGGUCUCACAGUAGAAGGAUUAAAUUAUAUGGUAACUACACCUAGAUAUUCAUACUUUUAUUCUGU